Falco peregrinus (peregrine falcon) is the source of this 763-nucleotide long non-coding RNA. RefSeq lists it as uncharacterized. The record is from RefSeq and is a predicted model, not a curated record. The transcript has 2 exons. Lineage: Eukaryota; Metazoa; Chordata; Aves; Falconiformes; Falconidae.
GUUUUGCCCUCUCCUCCUCCUCCCUCUCUCCCCACGUGUGCGUUUGGGAGACGGAGGAGAAGCUCUUCCCACCACAUCCCCUGCAGGAGAUGCACCACUGCACCUGCAGAGAGAUGAAGCUCGAUGAGACUUAGUCAUCAAAUUACCCAGGACAGGAUCCAAAAAUGUUCCCAGCUUCCUUUUGCACCAUGAUCCACUAAUAAAAGAACAAGGAUGAAACUGUUAGAACCAAUUAAACAAAUCACUUGAUGCAGGAGAAAGAAGUGGGAUUCACUGCACUAGCGAUCCCAGGGGCGUAAGCUAAACGUUGCAUUCCGUGCUCUCCGGUUAAUACAUGUCACCCGCGCGAGCUCCAAUGGAGAUAAAGCCAACAUCAUUCAAACAGCCAACACAAUCCCUUGCUCCAAGGCCUAAAACAACAAGAGGACAAAAUUCCCCUCCCAGCCACUCCAGCCGCCUGCCAGGUUUCGUAUUAAUGGCAGAAUUACAUCUCCUUCCAGGUAUGGCAAAGACACAGCUCGUCUCGCCACGGGCAUCUGCGAGCCUGCCCAGCGGGGAGCAGAGACGUCUGGAUGACACAAAAGCUGUCCCUCCUCCUCAGAGAAAAGUAAGGAGGCAUCGCUACAUCGCUGCCAUGCAGCUGCCGGAGCAAGGCAGCCCAUUUCUCCACCACCCCUGCACCGGAGCCAAGACCAACACAACUUAAAAUUAAUUUGGAAAGAGCGAAACAGCAGAAAGUAAAUAAAAUUAUCUUUUUAUUUGA